UACAGAGGUCUCAAGCGUUGUUCGGAUUCAUUGGGCGUAAAGGGUGUGUAGGUGGCGCGCUAAGUCGGGUGUGAAAUCUCGGGGCUUAACUCCGAAACUGCAUUCGAUACUGCGGUGCUUGAGGACUGGAGAGGAGACUGGAAUUCAUGGUGUAGCAGUGAAAUGCGUAGAGAUCAUGAGGAAGACCAGUGGCGAAGGCGGGUCUCUGGACAGUUCCUGACACUGAGACACGAAGGCCAGGGGAGCAAACGGG
This 253-nucleotide ribosomal RNA is filed under the name uncultured bacterium. Its description in RNAcentral is "partial 16S ribosomal RNA". It matches the Rfam family "Bacterial small subunit ribosomal RNA", at positions 524 to 776 of the family's 1533-position model. The record is from RNAcentral.